GCAGUGGAGGUUCAGUGGUAGAAUAUUUGCCUUCCAUGCAGGAGACCCAGGGUUCGGUUCCCUGCCAAUGCA
Molecule: transfer RNA, 72 nt
Filed under: Loxodonta africana (African savanna elephant)
Lineage: Eukaryota; Metazoa; Chordata; Mammalia; Proboscidea; Elephantidae
Rfam family: tRNA
About the family: Transfer RNA (tRNA) molecules are approximately 80 nucleotides in length.
Source: Rfam by way of RNAcentral